RNAcentral lists this ribosomal RNA (166 nucleotides) under Canavalia rosea. RNAcentral describes it as "5.8S ribosomal RNA". It matches the Rfam family "5.8S ribosomal RNA". From Rfam's summary of the family: 5.8S ribosomal RNA (5.8S rRNA) is a component of the large subunit of the eukaryotic ribosome. RNAcentral also lists the same sequence under 11 other names. Lineage: Eukaryota; Viridiplantae; Streptophyta; Magnoliopsida; Fabales; Fabaceae. The record is from RNAcentral.
CCCAAAAUGACUCUCGGCAACGGAUAUCUCGGCUCUUGCAUCGAUGAAGAACGUAGCAAAAUGCGAUACUUGGUGUGAAUUGCAGAAUCCCGUGAACCAUCGAGUCUUUGAACGCAAGUUGCGCCCGAAGCCAUUAGGUUGAGGGCACGCCUGCCUGGGUGUCACA